Acanthosepion pharaonis is the source of this 114-nucleotide non-coding RNA. Lineage: Eukaryota; Metazoa; Mollusca; Cephalopoda; Sepiida; Sepiidae. The record is from the annotation of a GenBank genome assembly.
UUAUGGCCACAUCACGAUGAAAUGCAGGUUCCCCUUUGAUCACUGAAAUUAAGCAACGUUGAGCCUGGUCAGUACCUAGAUGGGUGACUGCUUGAUAAUAAAAGGUGCUGUUAG